This 497-nucleotide ribosomal RNA is filed under the name uncultured bacterium. Its description in RNAcentral is "partial 16S ribosomal RNA". It matches the Rfam family "Bacterial small subunit ribosomal RNA", at positions 28 to 507 of the family's 1533-position model. The record is from RNAcentral.
GAUGAACGCUGGCGGCGUGCCUAAUACAUGCAAGUCGAGCGAACGGACGAGAAGCUUGCUUCUCUGAUGUUAGCGGCGGACGGGUGAGUAACACGUGGAUAACCUACCUAUAAGACUGGGAUAACUUCGGGAAACCGGAGCUAAUACCGGAUAAUAUUUUGAACCGCAUGGUUCAAAAGUGAAAGACGGUCUUGCUGUCACUUAUAGAUGCAUCCGCGCUGCAUUAGCUAGUUGGUAAGGUAACGGCUUACCAAGGCAACGAUGCAUAGCCGACCUGAGAGGGUGAUCGGCCACACUGGAACUGAGACACGGUCCAGACUCCUACGGGAGGCAGCAGCAGGGAAUCUUCCGCAAUGGGCGAAAGCCUGACGGAGCAACGCCGCGUGAGUGAUGAAGGUCUUCGGAUCGUAAAACUCUGUUAUUAGGGAAGAACAUAUGUGUAAGUAACUGUGCACAUCUUGACGGUACCUAAUCAGAAAGCCACGGCUAACUACGUG